CACGAGGUAGCAAUACUUUGGUGGCGACCGGCGCACGGGUGAGUAACGCGUAUGUAACCUACCUUGUACAGGGGGAUAACCCGGAGAAAUUCGGACUAAUACCCCAUAAUGAUAUUGAGAGGCAUCUUUUGAUAUUUAAAGUUUCGACGGUACAAGAUGGGCAUGCGUAACAUUAGCUAGUUGGUAGGGUAACGGCCUACCAAGGCUACGAUGUUUAGGGGUCCUGAGAGGGUGAUCCCCCACAUUGGUACUGAGACACGGACCAAACUCCUACGGGAGGCAGCAGUGAGGAAUAUUGGUCAAUGGACGUAAGCCUGAACCAGCCAUCCCGCGUGCAGGAAGACGGCGCUAUGCGUUGUAAACUGCUUUUCCAGGGGAAGAAAACCUUCGACGUGUCGAAGCUUGCCGGUACCUUGGGAAUAAGCAUCGGCUAACUCCGUGCCAGCAGCCGCGGUAAUACGGAGGAUGCGAGCGUUAUCCGGAUUUAUUGGGUUUAAAGGGUGCGUAGGCGGAUUGAUAAGUCAGCGGUGAAAACCUUCAGCUUAACUGGAGACUUGCCAUUGAUACUGUCAGUCUUGAGUACGGUCAAGGUAGGCGGAAUGUGUAAUGUAGCGGUGAAAUGCUUAGAUAUUACACAGAACACCGAUUGCGAAGGCAGCUUACUGGACCAAUACUGACGCUGAGGCACGAAAGCGUGGGGAGCGAACAGGAUUAGAUACCCUGGUAGUCCACGCCGUAAACGAUGAUCACUCGCUGUUAGCGAUACACAGUUAGCGGCUAAGCAAAAGCAUUAAGUGAUCCACCUGGGGAGUACGGCCGCAAGGCUGAAACUCAAAGGAAUUGACGGGGGCCCGCACAAGCGGAGGAACAUGUGGUUUAAUUCGAUGAUACGCGAGGAACCUUACCUAGGCUUAAAUGUAGAGUGCAUUCCGCCGAAAGGCGGAUUUCCUUCGGGACUCUUUGCAAGGUGCUGCAUGGUUGUCGUCAGCUCGUGCCGUGAGGUGUCGGGUUAAGUCCCAUAAC
This 1023-nucleotide ribosomal RNA is filed under the name uncultured bacterium. RNAcentral describes it as "bacterial SSU rRNA". It matches the Rfam family "Bacterial small subunit ribosomal RNA", at positions 70 to 1093 of the family's 1533-position model. The record is from RNAcentral.